This 175-nucleotide ribosomal RNA is filed under the name Neogloboquadrina pachyderma. RNAcentral describes it as "partial small subunit ribosomal RNA". Lineage: Eukaryota; Foraminifera; Rotaliida; Globorotaliidae. The record is from RNAcentral.
UGUUUAAUCGGUUAUUAAGCAUCGAGUGUUAAAUAUGCUAGUCCUUUCAUGAUUAUGUGAUAGGUGGUGCAUGGCCGUUCUUAGUUCGUGGAGUGAUCUGUCUGCUUAAUUGCGUUUCACUAAGGGCCCAUAARUUCAAGGUAUGUUAGCUAUCGUCGCUCUAUGGACCCCUUAU